GCCCGCUACAGAAACGUUAAAGGAAUUGACGGGGCCGCACAAGCGGUGGAGCAUGUGGUUUAAUUCGACGCAACGCGCAGAACCUUACCUGGGCUUGACAUCCCGAUCGCUACCUUUUGGAAACUUAAGGGUCAGUUCGGCUGGAUCGGUGACAGGUGCUGCAUGGCUGUCGUCAGCUCGUGUUGUGAGAUGUUGGGUUAAGUCCCGCAACGAGCGCAACCCUCGUCCUUAGUUGCCAGCAUUAAGUUGGGCACUCUAAGGAGACUGCCGGUGUUAAACCGGAGGAAGGCGGGGAUGACGUCAAGUCCUCAUGGCCCUUAUGUCCAGGGCUACACACGUGCUACAAUGGCCGGUACAAAGGGUAGCAAGACCGCGAGGUGGAGCCAACCCCAAAAAGCCGGUCUCAGUUCGGAUUGUAGUCUGCAACUCGACUCCAUGAAGUUGGAAUCGCUAGUAAUCGUGGAUCAGCAUGCCACGGUGAAUACGUUCCCGGGCCUU
RNAcentral lists this ribosomal RNA (498 nucleotides) under uncultured Desulfuromonas sp. RNAcentral describes it as "bacterial SSU rRNA". It matches the Rfam family "Bacterial small subunit ribosomal RNA", at positions 903 to 1382 of the family's 1533-position model. Lineage: Bacteria; Pseudomonadati; Thermodesulfobacteriota; Desulfuromonadia; Desulfuromonadales; Desulfuromonadaceae. The record is from RNAcentral.